CAGUCGCGUUCUCUGGGAUUCAGCCGAAAGGUGUACUCGUACGGUUGCAGGCUAGAGUCUGUUCUUGGGGUCGGAUAAGGGUCUUGGGAAUGUGGCCGGUUCGCCGGUGUUAAGCCCUGGACUUGAUACGGCUCUGGGGACAGAGGACCGCAGCGCGCCUUCUUGGCAUUGGCUUCGGCCUUUUCCGCGCUAAGGAUUCUGGCUUAAUGGCUUUAAGCGACCCGUCUUGAAACACGACCAAGGAGUCUAACAUAUGUGCGAGUGUUU
This 267-nucleotide ribosomal RNA is filed under the name Diversispora epigaea. The record is from RNAcentral. Lineage: Eukaryota; Fungi; Glomeromycota; Glomeromycetes; Diversisporales; Diversisporaceae.